GACGAACGCUGGCGGCGUGCUUAACCCAUGCAAGUCGAACGGAAAGGCCCUGCUUUUGUGGGGUGCUCGAGUGGCGACCGGGUGAGUAACACGUGAGUAACCUGCCCUUGACUUUGGGUUAACUUCAGGAAACUGGGGCUAUUACCGGAUAGGAGCUCCUGCUGCAUGGUGGGGGUUGGAAAGUUUCGGCGGUUGGGGAUGGACUCGCGGCUUAUCAGCUUGUUGGUGGGGUAGUGGCUUACCAAGGCUUUGACGGGUAGCCGGCCUGAGAGGGUGACCGGCCACAUUGGGACUGAGAUACGGCCCAGACUCCUACGGGAGGCAGCAGUGGGGAAUAUUGCACAAUGGGCGGAAGCCUGAUGCAGCAACGCCGCGUGCGGGAUGACGGCCUUCGGGUUGUAAACCGCUUUCGCCUGUGACGAAGCGUGAGUGACGGUAAUGGGUAAAGAAGCACCGGCUAACUACGUG
Molecule: ribosomal RNA, 468 nt
Filed under: uncultured bacterium
Lineage: Bacteria
Description: partial 16S ribosomal RNA
Rfam family: Bacterial small subunit ribosomal RNA
Source: RNAcentral